AUUGAACGCUGGCGGCAUGCCUAACACAUGCAAGUCGAACGGCAGCACAGCAGUAGCAAUACUGUGGGUGGCGAGUGGCGGACGGGUGAGGAAUACGUCGGAAUCUGCCCAGUCGUGGGGGAUAACUAGCCGAAAGGUUAGCUAAUACCGCAUACGACCGAGAGGUGAAAGCGGGGGACCGCAAGGCCUCGCGCGAUUGGAUGAGCCGACGUCGGAUUAGCUAGUUGGCGGGGUAAAGGCCCACCAAGGCGACGAUCCGUAGCUGGUCUGAGAGGAUGAUCAGCCACACUGGAACUGAGACACGGUCCAGACUCCUACGGGAGGCAGCAGUGGGGAAUAUUGGACAAUGGGCGGCAAGCCUGAUCCAGCAAUGCCGCGUGUGUGAAGAAGGCCU
Molecule: ribosomal RNA, 394 nt
Filed under: uncultured bacterium
Lineage: Bacteria
Description: bacterial SSU rRNA
Rfam family: Bacterial small subunit ribosomal RNA
Source: RNAcentral